CAAGUCGAGCGUGAAAGGUCUUCGGACUGAGUAAAGCGGCGGACGGGUGAGUAAUGCUUGGGAAUCUACCUAGUAGUGGGGGAUAACGUGUGGAAACGCACGCUAAUACCGCAUACGUCCUACGGGAGAAAGCAGGGGACCUUCGGGCCUUGCGCUAUUAGAUGAGCCCAAGUCGGAUUAGCUAGUUGGUAGGGUAAAGGCCUACCAAGGCGACGAUCCGUAGCUGGUCUGAGAGGAUGAUCAGCCACACUGGGACUGAGACACGGCCCAGACUCC
RNAcentral lists this ribosomal RNA (276 nucleotides) under unidentified marine bacterioplankton. RNAcentral describes it as "partial 16S ribosomal RNA". It matches the Rfam family "Bacterial small subunit ribosomal RNA", at positions 58 to 339 of the family's 1533-position model. The record is from RNAcentral. RNAcentral also lists the same sequence under 1 other name.